GACGAACGCUGGCGGCGUGCUUAACACAUGCAAGUCGAACGGAAAGGCCCUGCUUUUGUGGGGUGCUCGAGUGGCGAACGGGUGAGUAACACGUGAGUAAGCUGCCCCUGACAUUGGGAUAUCUUCAGGAAACUGGGGGUAAUACCGGAUAGGAGCUCCUGCCGAAUGGUGGGGGUUGGAAAGUUUCGGCGGUUGGGGAUGGACUCGCGGCUUAUCAGCUUGUUGGUGGGGUAGUGGCUUACCAAGGCUUUGAAGGGUAGCCUGCCUGGGAGGGGGACCGGCCACACUAGGCCUGGGAUGCGGCCCGGACCCCUACGGGAGGCAGCAGUGGAGUAGAUUGCACAGUGGGCGGAAGCCUGAUGCAGCCACGCAGCGUGCGGGAUGUCGGGCUUCGGGUUGUAAUCCGCUUUCGCCUGUGACGAGGCGUGAGUGACGGUAAUUGGUAAAGAAGCACCGGCUAACUCCGUG
Molecule: ribosomal RNA, 468 nt
Filed under: uncultured bacterium
Lineage: Bacteria
Description: partial 16S ribosomal RNA
Rfam family: Bacterial small subunit ribosomal RNA
Source: RNAcentral